AGCCGACAUCUUCCACCAUUUGAGGUGAGCAGGUAGAAACCUGAAGUGAGUCAGUCCAUGUUAAGGUCUGUUCUCAUGAGGAUGCUGAACAUCUCAGUGCCUCCUAGAAUCUGUCUAGGAAACCAUGGCCUUCUCAGUGUUUCACAGAUCAUACAUGUCAUCACUUUCAACUUCAGCAGAACAAGCAGGCUGAGAAAACAUCUUGGUCAAACCCUACCUUCUCAAGCUCAUGGAUAUUAGAAUGACUGCUGUCAUCAUUGUGCAGAGGAAGAGGCACACCGGCUACCAGAAAAUUGAGGACAAGUCAGAGUGGUGAUCAGUGCAUGUUUCCUUCCCAUAAGCCAGUGCAAGGAUUCUGCAUAAGUCAACAUCGCUGUCUGUUACAGACUGUCAUUCAGGUCAUGAUGCUCAUAGUCACCAGUGUUAGACUGCAGCUCUUUCUAUCCCUUUCUCUCACCUCUUCCCUUCCUUCCAGGAACAGAAAAGGUUCAGUCUUGAGUUCAGCCCUAUAUUUUGGCUGGGUACCUGGCAUAUCUGAUAGAGGAAAAGAUGGGGGCCUGAAUUUGGACUGAGGGAGAAGAUGCCUAUGUGGCUUAUAGGCCUACCUUGGACCAGGGGGGACUGUUGCUGCUGUCCCUAAGGGCAGGUUUCCAAAUGUUUCAUUUUAUGAACUCCUAGGAAGCAUCAAGUUCCCCUCCAAAGCUGUCUUUAGGUACUGCUUGUUACUGUUAGACAGGUGUUAUUAUUAGCUUGCAGUUUGCUGGCUGGGUAUCACUGCAUCAACAUAUUCCAAGCGGAUGCGGAGCAAAAGCCUCAAGGACGAAAAUGAAGAAAGGUCUUAUGUAAUAAAUUGAAAGUAUACAUCACUAAGGACUGUAGUUCUGUCCCUGCGUUAGUAGUGAAUAUACUCAUAUUAGGGUAUGUUUACCUUGGAAUCAGGUGAUGUCUGUAGAAUGUGACAUGUACCUACUAUCUACUUAACACAGAGUUCAGUGUUUUAUAGAAAAGGGAACUGGCCAUAGGCAACCAUUUUUUUUUCAUGCAGUUGAGGAUUUCACUGCUUCUAUUAAGAUUUUAAAGCAUUUAAUACAUUAAAGCAUCUUUACACUGCUUACUGUGUACUUUCUCCAUAAGGAACCCUAUAACCUACCAGACUUUAGAAAAACCAGUUCUUGUCUUGGAAGUAGAUGAGAUGAACAGUUGACCUGGAAAACAAGGCAACACAUGCCCAGCUAGCAGGGUUUUUGCAUUACACAGAGUGAGAGGAGCUCAUCUCUUUCCAGGGGUGCAUCUUGAGAAAGACUAAUUUGCUGCAAAAACAAUAGGUUCCCCACCUUCUGUGACAAUGCUGUGACUCCACAGCACAAUGAAUAGGAAUCGAAGGCACACUCCUCAGCUAUCAUGUGUCCAAAGCGAUUAUGGAAAUGGUGAUGGUGAAUCUCAAUUACUUCCACAUUGUCUGGCUCUGCUCCAGGAUUACCACCCCCCCCAACCCCCGCCCUGUCUGCCUGCCAUUCUUCUCCUGCCAUUCUAUUCUUUUCAUGUUCUGUCCCUCAAGGCUCACAUGUUUCAGAGAGGAGGCAUUAUGUAGAUAUAUCUUUUUUAUUUUUAAUGCUCAUUGUUCUGCUUAAUCUGAACAAACCUCUAAUUUUUCAUGUGCCCACCAUCCUUCUAGAUCCUUUCCUCUCAAAUAUUUUCAUACUUCUGAUUCUUUAAAUCUAAAGAAAGUAGAAUUCAGUUUACUUUUCAUACUUUCCAAAAAGGAGUAUGUUAGAUGUGAAACUCUGGCUCCUAAGUGUCAAAGAAUCUUCUAGUACCAAGAUUCUAGCUAAUUUUAAGGUUUGGAGAAAUAAUCAGCCACUGUACUGUAUGAGUCCACACUAUGCACUCUUUACAUACAAAGUGAUAUGAAUAUAUUGGAGGAAGCCCUGUGGUUCUCUGUGGCUGCCUGCCUGAGGCUUUGCCUUCUUUCCUCUUUAAAGCCCGAGCUCACCAUUUGGGACUAUUCAGCUGUGUGCAAGAAGGCUUACCUCGGUGUCUCACCUGUAUUAUAUUUUAAUAGGUAUUAUGACAAUGCCAGUCUUAUAUAGUCAUAUUGAGAAUUUAAAGAACAAAUUUAUGAAGAAUAUUAGGACAAUGUCUGGCAUGGAGUCUGUGCAAUAAAAAUGUUCACAAUCCUA
Mesocricetus auratus (golden hamster) is the source of this 2180-nucleotide long non-coding RNA. RefSeq lists it as uncharacterized. The transcript has 2 exons. NCBI's taxonomy places the organism in Eukaryota, Metazoa, Chordata, Mammalia, Rodentia, Cricetidae. The record is from RefSeq and is a predicted model, not a curated record.